AGUAAAACCAGCUAAAAGCUUUAGGAUCAUGCCCUAAUAUGUUGAUUAAUAUCCUUCUUUUACUA
RNAcentral lists this transfer RNA (65 nucleotides) under Notholebias minimus. Its description in RNAcentral is "Leptolebias minimus tRNA-Met". Lineage: Eukaryota; Metazoa; Chordata; Actinopteri; Cyprinodontiformes; Rivulidae. The record is from RNAcentral.